ACUAGGUGGCUGAAAGUAAGUAAUGGUCUCUUAAACCAAACUAUAGUAAAUUAACAUCUACUUCUAGUG
Molecule: transfer RNA, 69 nt
Filed under: Nicrophorus investigator
Lineage: Eukaryota; Metazoa; Arthropoda; Insecta; Coleoptera; Silphidae
Also listed under: 3 other names
Description: tRNA-Lys
Source: RNAcentral